Non-coding RNA from Oryctolagus cuniculus (rabbit), 1101 nucleotides. The record is from RefSeq and is a predicted model, not a curated record. NCBI's taxonomy places the organism in Eukaryota, Metazoa, Chordata, Mammalia, Lagomorpha, Leporidae.
CAGGUCAAUACCAGGAACUCAUUAGCCCAAGAACAGGAAGUGGGGGGGGGCAACACUGCCAAAGAGCCUGAGUCAGGGGCCCGGCCGGAGCACAGACGCUGGCCGGGGGCUCCUGGUGACCAGGCAAGCACCCAGGUCGCAUGGUUUGCAGAGUCCGGCGCUUCCUGCGCAGAGAGAGGCCGCUAGUGUGGGGCUGUGCAGUCAGCCUGCUGGCAGGUGUGCUGCUGCUUUGCCAAAUAAGCUGGGCAAGUUGUCUGCUUCCUCGUCCAGGAAAUGAGGUGCAUUAGCAGGAAGCUGGAUCAGAAACGGAACAGCUGGGACUUGAACCGGCACUCCUUAUGGGAUGCCAGCAUUCCAAGCCGCAGCAUAACCUGCUGCACCACAGCGCCAGCCCUUCAAGGUCAGACUCAAGGACCACGUGGUAUUGGCUCCCUGUGUUUUCACUGUGGCCUCAAGGUCUAACACAAAACCUGGCAAAUGUGGUAAGAAACUGUUAAAUAAUUUUGUGUGAAUGAAUUGAACAAAUACGAAUGAAUUCAACAACGAUAUGGGAUUUACUAGAAAGCAACACAGGGUGUGUGAAGUGGAGUGAUGAAUCAAUUUCUGGUUAGAAUCCUGUUGGGAGGGGAAUGUACACCACCGAGCCGGUUCUGCAGCUCUGCUUGUGAGUAACCAGUUAGUAACCAGUUUUAGAAGAGCUCCAUCUUGUGUUGUGUCAUUAAUUCAUUAGGCAACUUUGGGCUGGAGAGACUCGGUCUAUUUUACUGCAAACUGAGAGGUCGGUCUAGAUCAGGGGGCAGCAAACAGUUUUCCAUAGAGGAGCAGACAGUAAAUAUUUUAGGCGUUGUGGUCAAUCACUGUUGCAACUACUCAGCCCUGUCAGGGUGGUGGAAAAGUCGUCACAGACAACACGUCCACGAACGGAUGUGUGGCCAUGCUUCUGUAACACCUCGCUCACACGGACAGGCAGCUGCCUAGAUUUGGUCCGGGGGCUGUAUGUGGUUUCUGACCUCUGAGGUCCCCGCUAAUCUUCAGUCUGUGAUUUAAAGUUAUAAUCGUGCACGACUGUCCUCUCAGGGAGCCUGUGGAAGACACUAAUGG